Molecule: ribosomal RNA, 500 nt
Filed under: uncultured bacterium
Lineage: Bacteria
Description: bacterial SSU rRNA
Rfam family: Bacterial small subunit ribosomal RNA
Source: RNAcentral
GAUGAACGCUAGCGACAGGCCUAACACAUGCAAGUCGAGGGGCAGCACAUGAGUAGCAAUACGAUGGUGGCGACCGGCGCACGGGUGAGUAACACGUAUGCAACCUGCCUGUAAGAGGGGGAUAACCCGGAGAAAUUCGGACUAAUACCGCAUAAUACCACGAGACUGCAUGGUUUUGUGGUUAAACAUUUAUGGCUUACAGAUGGGCAUGCGUAUGAUUAGAUAGUUGGUAGGGUAACGGCCUACCAAGUCUACGAUCAUUAGGGGUUCUGAGAGGAAGGUCCCCCACACUGGUACUGAGACACGGACCAGACUCCUACGGGAGGCAGCAGUGAGGAAUAUUGGUCAAUGGGCGAGAGCCUGAACCAGCCAAGUCGCGUGAAGGAAGAAGGUUCUAUGGAUUGUAAACUUCUUUUGCAGGGGAAUAAAGGACGGUACGUGUACUGUUUUGUAUGUACCUUGCGAAUAAGGAUCGGCUAACUCCGUGCCAGCAGCCGUAC